RNAcentral lists this transfer RNA (65 nucleotides) under Propsilocerus taihuensis. RNAcentral describes it as "tRNA-Ala". It matches the Rfam family "tRNA". From Rfam's summary of the family: Transfer RNA (tRNA) molecules are approximately 80 nucleotides in length. Their secondary structure includes four short double-helical elements and three loops (D, anti-codon, and T loops). Lineage: Eukaryota; Metazoa; Arthropoda; Insecta; Diptera; Chironomidae. The record is from RNAcentral.
AGGAUUAUAGUUAACUAUAACAUUUGAUUUGCAAUCAAAAAGUAUUGAAAAUUCAAUUUAUCUUA